UACGGUGAAUACGUUCCCCGGGACCUUGCACACACCGCCCGUCAAGCCAUGGAAGCCGGGUGUACCUAAAGUCGGUAACCGUAAGGAGCCGCCUAGGGUAAACUGGUGACUAGGGCU
This 117-nucleotide ribosomal RNA is filed under the name uncultured bacterium. Its description in RNAcentral is "partial 16S ribosomal RNA". It matches the Rfam family "Bacterial small subunit ribosomal RNA", at positions 1358 to 1482 of the family's 1533-position model. The record is from RNAcentral.